UUCAAAAACUAACUAGUAAUU
RNAcentral lists this non-coding RNA (21 nucleotides) under Caenorhabditis elegans. Lineage: Eukaryota; Metazoa; Nematoda; Chromadorea; Rhabditida; Rhabditidae. The record is from RNAcentral.